CCUACGGGUGGCAGCAGUGGGGAAUAUUGCACAAUGGGGGAAACCCUGAAGCAGCGACGCCGCGUGAGUGAAGAAGGAUUUCGGUAUGUAAAGCCCUGUUAGCAGGGAAGAAAAUGACGGUACCUGACCAAUACGCCCCGGCUAACUCCGUGCCAGCAGCCGCGGCCAUACGGAGGGGGCAAGCGUUACUCGGAUUUACUGGGGGUAAAGGGCGCGUAGGCGGGAUGGCAAGUCCGGCGUGAAAGCCUGUGGCUCAACCCUCGGACUGCUGUUGAAACUGCUAGGCUGGAGUGUGGGAGAGGUAGGUGGAAUUCGUGGUGUAGGGGUGAAAUGCGUAGAUAUCAGGAGGAACACCAGUGGCGAAGGCGGCCUGCUGGACUGUAACUGACGCUGAGGCUCGAAAGCGUGGGGAGCAAACAGGAUUAGAUACCCGUGUAGUC
Molecule: ribosomal RNA, 440 nt
Filed under: uncultured bacterium
Lineage: Bacteria
Description: partial 16S ribosomal RNA
Rfam family: Bacterial small subunit ribosomal RNA
Source: RNAcentral